Seriola aureovittata is the source of this 1835-nucleotide long non-coding RNA. RefSeq lists it as uncharacterized. NCBI's taxonomy places the organism in Eukaryota, Metazoa, Chordata, Actinopteri, Carangiformes, Carangidae. The record is from RefSeq and is a predicted model, not a curated record. The transcript has 2 exons.
UUCAAACAGGCUUCAUUGCAAGUUGUCACACGUGGUUGGUCCAACCAAAAGUAUUCAGACAACAUAUGAUACAGUUUCAUAAGGUAGCAAGUACACUGCUGCCCAAUGUCUUCUACUUUUGAUUAUACUUCUUCCGCCACUGGACAUACUAACAUGUUAAAAUAAGCGGGAUAUUUGAGCUUUCAGAGCCCUGCCCACAUGUUAGCUCUACUGUUGCUCAUUACAAGCUAACCCGCAAACCACCAAUUUUUGAAGGACUUAAUCGUCCGUCUCCUCACUAUUUGGAUUUGCCGUUGGCCUGAAAUUGUCACCAACAACGGAAGUUUUUUUUGUCUCUGCUUCUCUGUAAGUCGUCCCCGAGGAGAACACGGCUUCACUUCAACAAGCGAUGGCAAGCUUGGCGUAGGAGCACAUGUGCAAGUUCUCCACCAAAGCAGAACAAGAGCCACUGUCACCAGCUGCAGUCCAAGAAGGUGGAGUUGCAGUCUGCCCAGGGGAGGAGAGACCUGCCUGAGUGAGAGACUAGCUGGUCAGCAACAACUGAACUUCCUAAUUGAAACACUUACAUAUAGCACCUCAUGAAUAGAUAAACAGCAGCGCUGAACAGAAGACAGCAUUGUGGGCAAAGAGUCGUGGCUAGCAGACAAAAAUCUUAUAGGAAGUGUUGAGAUGGCUGAAAGAUAUGAAUCACAACUUCCAGCCAGGACUUUAAGAAUUAAAUGAGAGUGGAAAAAGGAUGUAGAGAUAUGUGAGUUGGGCCUUUAGCCUUGAGUUGUAGUGACAGGCUUUAUUAUAACUAAUGGGGAUACUUGCGAUUCAGAUGGUGGAUUGCUAUUCUACCCAAAAAGAUUUUCAUAUGAUCUUUUGGCCAGAUCGCCUACUGCUAGUUCCAGCUGUUAUUGGCCAUCAAAGCUGAACAUUUGAUGAAGUGCUUAAAAAUACUUGUAAAGUUAUGGAUACAUCCUGAGAAGUUUCUGCUCAUACAUGACUUAAAUGCACACAGUGAGCCGCAGGUUCGUAACCUGUGCAGUGCAGUGUCGUAUCAGAGUGUGCAGUUUCAGCAUUUUUAGCCUUUCAAAAAUGUGUUUCUUGAUGUCAGUUAAAAAUCUGAUAUGUAAUCUUGCCGAAACCAAUUAGGCUACAGUAAAUCUGCAUCAAGAAUUCCCACAUCAAAAUGGAAGCACUCCUCUGAGACACACGCCAGGACUGCAGAGUUAAUUAAUCCCUGCAAUCAGAGGUCUGAUGAAAUAAGAGCUGAAUGUUGCCCCUCCCAAGACAACUGUUAACAAAGCUGUUCUGCUCUUAUUACUUCUGCAAACUGCUUAUCAGACAGCUCUGAAUCUAAAGCCCAACACGCCAUUUUCAAUCAAGUGUUGCUCCUAGGAAUUGAACUGAAAGUAUGAUUGUGACCCAAAGUAUUCACUUUAGGACCAUUGAACUGUAGCCGCGUGGGAAGUGCAUUGAUCAAUGAAGAACAUACAGUGCCUACAGUUAAGUGGCAUUGGAAAGAUCUGAUAUUGCAAGGACAUGUAGCCCAACUGGAAGUUGUGUGUUGUUUAAAAGCAAGAUAUAUCUGAAAAUGUUCCAUUUAACCAUUAUUUCAUUGUUACAGUGAUGUUCACAGAUGUUGGCAGCUUUUGAAAACAAAGUCUGUGAAAAAUAACACCCUUCCUCAAACAAUUUAAUGUUAUAAUCCAUGAUUAAUGUAGUAUUAUAGAUAGAAAUGUGCUUUUACACAUCUGGAAUGAGCUGAAUAACUUGUAACAUUUCAGGAAAGAAAAAUCUGAACCAACUGCAGAGAUGUUCCAAAAUAUAUCCUGUGUGUUUGAAAGUCA